This is a long non-coding RNA of Alligator mississippiensis (American alligator), 531 nucleotides long. RefSeq lists it as uncharacterized. Lineage: Eukaryota; Metazoa; Chordata; Crocodylia; Alligatoridae. The record is from RefSeq and is a predicted model, not a curated record. The transcript has 2 exons.
GUAUGCGCGCGCGCAUGCGCAGGGGGCCCGCCCCAGGUUGGCAGGGCUUUUGCUGCUCGUCGAGUCGUCGUGGAAGCGGGACAGCUCUAGCACCAGUAGGCUACUCUGAAACACUUGCUUAACAGACUUUCAGCUAUGGCACUGAAAUGGUACUUACUGCAGGCCUCAGACACAUUAUGGAAGCUGAUCUUCUGGUUUCAAACAACAUUGUUAAUGUCUCAGCAGCAGGACUCAUUUUAAAGACCCUCGUUACUUUUGUGCCAAGCUUGGAAGCUCCAAACUGAGACUCUCAAUCAUGAAUCACUGAGUUUACCAACUUUUAGCUCAUGUGAAUCAGAAGGUAUUCCUGAUCAAUAAAGAUAUGGAUAACGUAUAAUUUAGAUAAGCCUCUUGCAGACGUAUCUUUGUUCUGCGUGUGUUCAGCACUUAGUAAUGCAGUCACUGUUAUGCUGUCGUGUGAAAUUUUUUUAAAAGGUUUUAUUCAAUUUAAAACAUUGAUAUAGUUUUCUACAUAAAUCUAAAGGUGGUUGA